This 253-nucleotide ribosomal RNA is filed under the name uncultured bacterium. Its description in RNAcentral is "partial 16S ribosomal RNA". It matches the Rfam family "Bacterial small subunit ribosomal RNA", at positions 524 to 776 of the family's 1533-position model. The record is from RNAcentral.
UACGAAGGGUGCAAGCGUUGCUCGGAAUUAUUGGGCGUAAAGCGCACGUAGGCGGCAUUGCAAGUCGGAUGUGAAAUCCCUCGGCUUAACCAAGGAAGUGCAUCCGAAACUGCAGUGCUUGAGUACUUAAGAGGAUCGCGGAAUUCCCGGUGUAGAGGUGAAAUUCGUAGAUAUCGGGAGGAACACCAGUGGCGAAGGCGGCGAUCUGGGAAGAUACUGACGCUGAGGUGCGAAAGCGUGGGGAGCAAACAGG